AUGAACGCUGGCGGCGUGCUUAACACAUGCAAGUCGAACGAAACACCUUAUUUGAUUUUCUUCGGAACUGAAGAUUUGGUGAUUGAGUGGCGGACGGGUGAGUAACGCGUGGGUAACCUGCCCUGUACAGGGGGAUAACAGUCAGAAAUGACUGCUAAUACCGCAUAAGACCACAGCACCGCAUGGUGCAGGGGUAAAAACUCCGGUGGUACAGGAUGGACCCGCGUCUGAUUAGCUGGUUGGGGAGGUAACGGCUCACCAAGGCGACGAUCAGUAGCCGGCUUGAGAGAGUGAACGGCCACAUUGGGACUGAGACACGGCCCAAACUCCUACGGGAGGCAGCAGUGGGGAAUAUUGCACAAUGGGGGAAACCCUGAUGCAGCGACGCCGCGUGAGUGAAGAAGUAUUUCGGUAUGUAAAGCUCUAUCAGCAGGGAAGAAAAUGACGGUACCUGACUAAGAAGCCCCGGCUAACUACGUG
This 480-nucleotide ribosomal RNA is filed under the name uncultured bacterium. RNAcentral's name for it is "partial 16S ribosomal RNA". It matches the Rfam family "Bacterial small subunit ribosomal RNA", at positions 29 to 507 of the family's 1533-position model. The record is from RNAcentral.